AGCAGUCGCCGCGGUAAUACGGAGGGGGCUAGCGUUAUUCGGAAUUACUGGGCGUAAAGCGCACGUAGGCGGCUUCGCAAGUCAGAGGUGAAAGCCUGGGGCUCAACUCCAGAAUUGCCUUUGAGACUGCGUCGCUCGAAUCCGGGAGAGGUGAGUGGAAUUCCGAGUGUAGAGGUGAAAUUCGUAGAUAUUCGGAAGAACACCAGUGGCGAAGGCGGCUCACUGGACCGGCAUUGACGCUGAGGUGCGAAAGCGUGGGGAGCAAACAGGAUUAGAUACCCGUGUAGUCCCUGUCUCUUAUAC
Molecule: ribosomal RNA, 303 nt
Filed under: uncultured bacterium
Lineage: Bacteria
Description: partial 16S ribosomal RNA
Rfam family: Bacterial small subunit ribosomal RNA
Source: RNAcentral